Molecule: RNA transcript, 10676 nt
Organism: Grus americana (Whooping crane)
Lineage: Eukaryota; Metazoa; Chordata; Aves; Gruiformes; Gruidae
Gene: TSPAN4
Gene name: tetraspanin 4
Exons: 8
Source: RefSeq, a predicted model, not a curated record
CUUGUGCAGAAGUCUUUCUCAUGUGGAAGCACACUGCUCCCUAACUCCUGGCUAAGCAGACUUCCGUUCGCCAACUUUGCUGCCGUACAGCACGUGUAACUCCUUGACAGGAUGGCAGACAAAAGAACAGCUGGUGCAAAGCAAUAGGCGAUUCAUAGCAAGGAGGAGGAAAGAAAACCACAAACCUUUCACCCGCACCAUUGACAUCCGACGAUUGUCAGAGCAGCAGUUGCGACAGGACGAGCUGAAGCCACCAUGCGCAGGUCUAGCACCGAUGAGUCGACCUAUCACAGGAGCCCUUCCCUGGACAGCAAGGAUUACAGUUUCCCAAAUGGCGCCUUUCGUCGCUACAGCAGCAUGUAUGGUGGCCAGUUUGGGGCUGCCAGCAACUCUUUUUUUGGAUUCCAUACCAACCCGGGCCCUAAAGCCACCAAGGCUAAGUACACGUCCCCCAAGGGAAACAAGUACGUUGUCUUUUACCUGGAUCUCUCGUUUAUUUUUCUCCUAGAACUGAAGAGGUGCAGUAUGGCUCACAACUGCCUGCAGUGUAUCAAGUACCUAAUGUUUGUCUUCAACCUUCUUUUCUGGUUGGGAGGCUGUGGAAUCCUUGGAGUAGGCAUCUGGCUGGCUGUUACCCAAGGGAACUUUGCCACCCUCUCCUCUUCUUUCCCGUCCCUGUCAGCUGCCAACCUACUGAUCGUCACAGGGACAUUUGUCAUGAUCAUUGGCUUCGUGGGCUGCAUAGGUGCCAUCAAAGAAAACAAGUGCCUCCUGCUGAGUUUUUUUAUCAUGCUGUUAAUUAUAUUUCUGUUGGAGCUCACUGUUGUGAUUCUGUUCUUCGUCUACACUGACAAGAUUGACAAGUAUGCUCAGCGUGAUCUGAAGAAAGGGCUUCAUUUGUAUGGGACAGAUGGAAAUAUUGGUCUAACUAAUGCAUGGAGCAUCAUUCAAACAGAUUUCAGAUGCUGUGGAGUCUCCAACUACACUGACUGGUUUGAAGUGUACAAUACGACCCGGGUGCCGGACUCCUGCUGCUUAGAAUUCAGCGAGAACUGUGGACUCCAUUCCCCAGGGACCUGGUGGAAAGCGCCUUGCUACGAAACAGUGAAAAUAUGGCUCCAGGAAAACUUACUAGCAGUGGGAAUCUUUGGAUUGUGCACAGCUAUGGUGCAGUAUCUGGUGGCUGCUUCUCGUGGAGAAACCAACUCUCCCGUGCUCUUAUUGUUCAUUCUGUAAAACAGCAAUACAGAUAAGGACAAAAGGCAGACAGGAACUAGGAACAGAACAAGGAGAUGAGCCAGCAGGAAAAAACAGUAUGUGAUGUGUCUUCCUGUGUGUGAACAAAACAAGUAUUCUCGGACUCACCUUUGCAAUGACCAUGUAUUGUCAGGUAGUCAAGGCAGACACCUACUGUGCAUAGAUAUCAUUCCCAAUCUUUCUGCUCCUCCUCCAAAGGACACAGGAGAAAUCUCCUUCAUGCUCAUUUGUCUGACCUUCCCCCCUCCCCCUUUGUACUAUAAACUGUGUAUAAUGCUAUCUUUCUGAAGAUUUUGUGAAUCGCCCCACUUUACUGAAGGAGGAAGAAAAGGAAAGAAAAAGUCAGUACUUGAACUGGCACAGGUAAGAAGCAGCCUUGUCUUUAAACAGAAGAAAACCUCCAAAGAGCAAUGGUUCCUUUUCCAUGGCCCAUGACAAGGCAAUGGAGGCUGCUUACGAGGGGCUGAUCUGCAAACCGAUGUCAGGAAAAGCUUGUGCUGAGGCAACCUCUGCGGAAGCUGCCAGGUUGCCUUCCUGCAUUUCAUGGUCUGGAAGAGAGGGCAUAGAAAAUGAGUAUUCUUCAACAUGGAAAGACGGUACAGAGUAGCCAGCACUGAAUGCAAUUGUAAUUUUACUACAGUUUGCACACAGUUAAAAUGUCAAGAUCAAGCAGCCCUGCCUCCAAGUGUCCCAAGAUAAUUUUGUAGCCAGGAGCGGAUCAUCCUCAAAAAUAUGUUAUUUUAAAGGAGUAUUUUUAAUCUUAUGCACUGCAAAGUCAGGCUUUUAAUCAGAAUCUGUACAGUGAGAUCUGGCUGUUAAGGGAAAACAACAUUGGACAUUGUCUCAUUUAUUAAUUGCCAGUGGCAUAUAGAUGGUUGACUGUAUAUGUAAUAUAUAUAUUAUAUUCAUAUACACGUACUGUUCUGCAAGGAGGUGAAAAUACCCAGCAUCUAACCUCAGAAAGAGGGAACCUUUCUAUCCCAUUUUACAUUCCAACUGAAAUAACCAAGUAUUAUUUCUUGUAGGAGGCACUAUCACUUAUACCUCUGGGAAACAAGUAAUUACUUUCAGCUGUAUCUUCAUUUCAGUAAACAACUUGUGAGUGGGCUCUCUCUGUCAUUCUACUAUGGUUUUAUUUUUUUUUUCAUCCCUGUUUCAAGUUAGUCUGCCAAAAAAAUAUCACUCAUUUCCACACUUGAAGAUCUGUACAAAGCUGUCAGCUGUUCCUUCCCUGAAUGUCACCAUUUCAUUAAUUUACUUUGGGAUACCAUCAUCUGCAGGUAUGCUAGAGUUUGCCUUGCUGAGGAAAAAAAUCUUUUUGCACAUUGCUCAUUUUUCUGAGAAUUAUUAAGACUUCACAUGGUUUUUUAUGCUUAGUGCUUCCCCCCCCCCCCGCCCCAGCUGCAUGCUUUCAAGCCAAGACACAUCAGUCUUUGUCAGAACUGGAGUCACCUCUCAGUUCUAUUUUUCAGACCCAUCUCCCUCUGCCUGGCUUGUUGGCUAGAACACACCCCACACUUUCUGAAAUCUGCAGAAAUCUAAAUCAUAACUUUCCUUAGCCAGAAAAAAAGCCACCAGUUGUCAGAUCUCCCCAUCUCGUGUUGGUAACUGAAGUAAUUUAUGUAGUACCCUUCUGUGGACACCUUCUAGUGAUGAGGUUAAGAAUCAGAUGUUUCCUAUUGUUCAAACAAACAAUUCCCCCUCAGCAAGCAGCCCCAGAUAAUACCAAUGUGACAGGGAGAAGCUAAAGCACACCAGGGAAAGGACACAGCAAGGAACAGGCAAACAGAGCAAUGCAGCUGGCCUGCUUCUGCAGCCAGCCUUUGAGAACCUCUCAGCCACUGACAACAGACCAGAGACAAAACCAUGGUGCUCUGUUUUCCCAGAAAGCUCAAUGCAGCCAUUCCUACUGUGACAGACUACAAGCAUGCAUCAAGUUUAGGCAAAAAAGUUUACCCUGUACUUUUGUGCUUACAACAGCAGGUCUCAUCUGCAAAUGACAUUUUGCUUGCUUUGAUUUAAAAUUUUCCAGCAGUAAAGCUGGCCUCACCAACACACAGACUAUUGAACGAUCUCCUUAACACCCCUAAGUAACCCUUUUCUGGAUCUGCACCAUUGACAAAUACUACUCUCACCACUUAGGUUUUGUUGUUUGGGUUUUUUUCCUCUUAGCUGAUUUCCUGCAGUCUUCUCACCCUCAGGACCAAACUACUCCAUGUUUUGUGGGGAAGUGCUUAGGACAGUCCAGUGUGUGAAAGAGCAAGCAUCUUCCAAAAUCUUAGCCCCCACCUUUAUGCAUCACCCUCUGUAGCUUGCACAGCUAACACCCCAUGCUAAAUUGAAAGUAAUGUAUUACUUGUGUGCAUUUUAUGUAGCUUCCUAAUCACUAUCACACCAAUCUCACCACCACUAAAGGAUUUUACUGCCAUGCUAACAUGCCUUGACAAAUGUUAAUAGACCUUGACCCAAGACAGAGGUUAAACUGAGUGAGUAGCCCACACACAGGUGCCCUGUAGCCCAAGCAAGAGCCUUACUCAUGGUGUUACAAUGACCACAGUCUCAAUGCUCUCUGCUUCCUGAGCCCAGGCUAACGUGUCAACAGUCCUACUUUUGGAAAGAUGGUAUAAGUUCUUUCCUUUCCUCUUUCGACUCUUCCUUUCCUUUCUACAGAGACAUGAUUCCAGGUUAGAUGUACCAUUAGUCCUUGCCAUGAUUUAUAGUUUGUACACACAGGUGCUCCUACUGACAGCUCAGUUUCCACCACUGAAAAGCAGCAUAAGAGAGUGAUGAAUACAUUAAUAGAACAUAGAUGUUUAAGAAAAGGCAGACAAGUCUACUUGUAGUGAUCCCUGCCAUUAAAAAGUAACAUAGACACAGCAGGCUGACACUGCCUCAGUUGAUAAGAGCAAACUAUUGUGCCAGAGCUCCCAUGGAAGGCAACUCCUCAAUUUGCCUGAUGGUGGUAUAGGGAGAAGAGAGAUCACAAACCCUCAUCCUGUGAGUCUCCCAAUAUUAUGCGCUGAGCUCUUCGAGAACACUGCUAGACUUCAACUGAACCUACAGAGGAAAUAAAAUGAGAAACAGAGACCGAAGACAAGUCAUACUUGUUGGUUCCCUCUAAAUUUUCCACAGUUUAGAUGUCUACAAGAUAAACUGCCUUGAUUUUCAAAACCACCUAUCUAUAGGGAGUAUAAGCAAUACUCACUUUGUAAAUCCCAGUCACUGCAACAGAAACAUACGGCACCAACUGCUGAAAAGAAAGAAAGAAAAAAACAAAACCACCACCCAAAUACAAAUGGACCACACAUUGCUGCUAGUAAUUCUUUUUUUUAAACACUACCUUUACACUGCCAACUGAAAUGCUUCUGCAACUUGUUUAUAAUUUGAACUGGACUAUUUUCUACAUUUGAUGUUAAAAAAACUCUCUUCAUACAGGCCAAAUGGAUGUUAUGGUGUUUAAAGUAUUACCAGCAUAAUCCAAUUUCAAACUUCUGAACAUACUGCAUAUAACAAGCCUCAGACUUACCAUAUUUUCUUUUUAAAAGCAUUGCAUCCUUUCUCUGCUGACAAGGUCAGAAUAUUUUGUGAUAGGUAAUAGCAACAAUCUUUCUUUAAAAACCAAAAAAGAGAGUUCCACAUUAUGUAUAAAACUUCAUGUUGAACUGGUUGAUUUUAAAUACUCUGUAGUACAUAACACCCAUUUAAAGGCUGCUUAUAUUGUACAUAUACAGAGAACACAGGAGUCAUUCCAAUUGCUUCCAUUAGUGUUUUGUCACUUUUAGUAAAGUCUUUUAUAUUAUUUUCACUUCUUUAAGCAUGAAGGAGGACUCAAUACACUUCAUUUAAAAGACAGAACCAAAGGCAACAAAGACAUUGAAGGAGAGUGCUCCUAAUUUAUACUCAUAGCUCUUUGUUAAAUAACAAGAUGUGAAGGCACAGGGCGCACAGCUGGACCUACUGAAUUCAGCAACAUCAGGAUUUAGCUUUUAGAUUCAGUCCAAUAUAGUUCUGGUUUUUCAUCUUCACAAUUAUAAUAAUAUAUAUACGUAUAUAUAUAUUUAAUAGAAUAUGGUUUAUUUUCCUGUACAGUAACUGUCAGUAGCAGCCAAAUCUUAUUGCUCAUAUAACAGAAUUAUUUAGCUCCACAUCUCAGAGUGCACAAUCACUGAAAUUCACUCCAGUUUCUGUUCUAUGAAUAUUUCUUUGCUCCUCCUCAAAUAAUAUAAUCUCACAAAGGUUUAUUCUUCCAUUUAAUAAUUACCAUUCAAAUGCAGCAUUGUAUGAUUUAUAAUACAGAGAGGAAGGAACUGCACAGAAGCUGUAAAAUAUUUUAUCUUGCAUCAGCAAUAUGGCUGUUAUGUGAAUCCACCCAAACCCCUCACUUCCCACACGCUACUUAAGAACUGGUUACAUCUUUCAGCGCAUGUGGCUCCCAGCUGCCUCUUCCCCCAUAGGGCCAGAGGUUGUUAGCGCGGACAAAGUUGAAGCCAUUCACUUAACCCUUAGCCUCAUUGUUGUGCUAUAAAUGUGGCACUGAAUGUAAGCAACAGAAACCAGCACCUGAUUGUGACAUUGAUUUUAAAACCAGACUCUUUAUUAUUAACUUGGUCUACAAGGAUCCUUGCUAAGCAUGAAUGAUCUUCACAGAUACAGAGUUAGACAAUUCACAGUACGAAAACAAGUCAGGACUCGCCAUGGAAAUUUUGUUUGGAUUCCAUUGUGAAUUCUCCUAGAUUGUCACAGGUAUCUUACCACAGUGGGCAGGUCUCCUCAGUUCUUUGGAUUUUGUCGCUGCAACUACAAUGAUACAUUUUUGUGCAUUCGUAUAAGAACAAAAUUUAAAAUAUACAUUUUAUUUUUUAAAAGUUAUUAAAUAUUCUUUAAAGUUUACAACAGAAUGUCUUUUGUAUUCUUUAUAAUCAACUACACUACAAGCUAUACAUACCCAAAGGUGCAUGUGUGCACAAGUGCAUACACUGUGUGUAUGCAAUUAAAAAAAAUACACAGCAUACUUUUUUGUCAUUUCUCAUUACCUAUCUUUGAUUUGACUGAUCCUUCCUUAUGGAGUUUUGGGUUUGUUUUUUUUUUAAUUACUUAAGUGGUUUACCCAUUCCCAGGUAAAUUUACACCCCUUUCCUCUUAAGGACAACCUGAAAUGAUGUAAUAGUUGAUAAUGAUUCAGAAAAUAGUGAGGGAUCAGGUUUACAGUGUAAUAAAAUACUCAGACCCCAAACCAAUAAUUUUCUCUUUAGAACUUGUCUGAUACCGAUAAUUUUGAAACAAAAGGACUUAUCGUUUUCUGAGGUAGUUGCUUAGAGUCAGAAAUUACAUAGAAAGACACAGAAAAUUAACACCAGACUGUGUUAAAAUGGAACAACUAGGAACUCCUACUAUGUCCGAUGAGAAAAAGGUCUGGUUAGCCAGGUGUCUUGUCUGAAGUCAUGUCUAACACUGCCUUUAUCAGUACCGUUUAUUGUACCCUCCAGGUCAAACAGCUUCAGAAGUGAAAUUGCUUUUAAACUGGGUGUAUUCUGAACACCACCACAGGCAUACUAUUGAAAGUGUAAGGGUAGAUGUGGCCUCAGAAUGGAGGCCCAGAGGUUUGAGAGGUUGUUGCAGGAAACAUCAGAAAGGAUAACGCAAACCUUUGGUGGAAGUUUCUUAAAACUCCCUCAAUUCAGUCGGCUCAUUUAUAUUACUUGACUUUUCUUCAUCCUGUUAACUGUACCACUAGAUGGUCUCAUUAACCACAGCUACCUUUAAUCCCUUUCUGACUUUGAAGUGGAAAGUUUCAGAGUCUUGCACUGUAGCAGUGAAUUUCACAAUUUCAUCGUGCCAUAUACAUUUAAAAGAAUCUUCUUACACUGGUUUUAACAUGUUGCCUUUCAAUCUAAUUUAUUCACCAUUGGUUCCAUACUUCAGGAAUGCUAACCUAAUGAUUCUUACAGAAAUACAAGCAUAGAGCAGCUGUAUUGACUUUACAGCCUAAUUUGUCUUUCCACUAAAGCUUAAACUUGGGUAAUAGAAUACGCUAUUGAUUUUCAAGAUCCCAUUGUUUUUAAAAAAAACCAAAACCAAACAGCUAAGCCCACUGUACCUCCCCUCAGCAGCUAGCCUAGUUCAGCUGUCUUUGCUUUUUGAACUACAUGUUGGCAUAGACAGAGGGGGUUCUAUUUUCAUCAACAACUAGCCUAGUAUUUCAGCUGGCAUCCUGCUAUUUUUCCUCAAAUAUACUUAACACAACCUGGGAAUAUCAGGCUUAUCCGAUUAUACUAGCUGUAUAAUACAAAGUACUUUCUGUCCACAUGGUGAUAAUUUUCAAAGAGACUUAAGGGUAGCCUGUGAAACUUCAUCCAAAGUUUUUCUUGACACAUCAAAAGUACAAAAUACAGAGCCCUAUGUUUCUUACCUUCCCCUAUGUUGAAAAACCCAAAGAAAGAAUCUAUCAUUAUUAACUUGCCUAGCCAGUACUAUUUGAAAGGCUGUUUUUCUGAAAUCCCAUCAGUUGCCUGUGGAGGUCAUUUUACCCCAGGCCUUGCUCCCCCACCUGCAAUAAAACUGUUUCCCCAUAGUAAUACUGUAUAUUAUUCUGUUCACUAGAAAUUGUGGGGUUUGUUGACCUGUGAGAACAGCUUGGUUUACGUUCUUCCCUCCAACAGCCAGAAAGCAUUCGCUACCAAGUCUACACCAAUGCAUGUUAGACAGCUACAUAGAGGGACUAUGUCAUCUUGCAGUGCAUCAUUUUUUAAUGAAGAAAUGGCUGAUCAGUUAAACUGGUUUCACAAAUUCCUCCUUCAUAUCUUUUAUGCAGAAAUUGUUUAGGCAGAACAUUUUGUUCCUACAGAAUUGUUUAACAGAGACUUCCCUAUACUUGUGGUUACAAGAAUAACUUGAAAGGAUAGGAUCCUCAUCCACUAUAAACCUCCUGUUACAUUCCUGUGGCACUACUAUUACAUGAUGCAGUUCAAAUCACAGCCAACAAAAUAAAAUAUAACUGUAUAUAAUUAAAAUAUAUAAAACAAAGUACAGCAUAAAAACCCAACUGUUAAUGUGAACUGCUUACAUGUUUAUUUUUCCAUAUGGACAGCAACAAAGAGUUUCAGGUGUAAAGCAGUCAUCCUAAAGAUACUAAAAAUUACUAUACAAACAAAGGGAUUUCAGGAACUGGUUUGUGAAAGUCUAUUCAGAUGCACCUCAUUAUCUCCCUCCUCCACAAAUACCUUUCCUUGGCUGUAAAGUUUAAGCCCAUCGCUGCUCCAGCCCUUCCACCUCUACUGUACCAUUUAAAUCUGUUGUUCUGUACACAGGGAUACCUGGUUAAUCAAUGUCCCAGUCUGCCAAAUGUGGAGGGGAUUCAAUUACCUGUAUUUAAUAACUUUAAGUGCCCAAGGACAGACACCUUACACGGCUUUACGAAGCUCAGGUUUGACAUUGAGUUAGGAAACUACAGUCCCUACAGAGCAAAGUGAGUACUGUAACCAAGUAAUUAAUGUCAGCCUAGUUAUGGACCUAACCAGUGACUAAGCCUGAAUUGCUCUCAAUGUCCUCAGUUCCCCAAUGCAAGUUUGCAAGUGGCUAGAUGAGCACUGUUGUUAUCAAGCAGAACUGUCACUAGUUGUUUAGCAUUCUCCAGAGAGACUAAAGCUGCAAGGAUUCUUUUUUCUUUUUUUUUCUUUUAACCCAAUUUACCUUAGAAACUUGUUCAGUGUUAUUGUAUCACCCACAGAUGCAAUUAACUGAUUCUGAUAUUAUAUCUCAGCUUGAAUAAUAAGCACCCAGAAUAUUGAGCUAAAAAUGCCUCAGCCUAGAAAAGCUGUCAUUGCUGUUCUUUUGAAAAGCUCACAUGCACCCACAUAUUAUUGAGGUGACAUAUUGAGGCAGCAUAUGCAUCCCCACAUUUUGUACUGUGGCAGCCUAACUGUCCAAAAUAACUUCUAGCAGGAAAAAAAAAAAAAAAAAAAAAAGGCAGCAAUUCUCAUUUCUCUCAUUUUCAGGCUCUCACUUCUCACGGAAUUGAACCCUCCCCCCUAAGGGAGUUAAAGCUGUUUACAAACUUAAUUAAGAUGAUGCAUUUGCAAGCACUCAAGGAAAAGAGCACUUCACCAUGGUGCUGCUUCUAGUGCUUUCUUGGAACCCCUCCUCUCACUCUGAGUCUAUACCCGAUCACUUACGACAGUCAAAGUCACCAAAAGCUUCUUUAUAGCACUCAGAGCACCACACAGCCUCCCUCCAUCCCCACCAGUGGCCACUGCCUUUGCACCUGUAUUAAUUUCAUUUGAAAGUCAUGCUGGCAUUAGUUGAAUAGGGCGGCUGCAUGGAGCUACAAUUAAAGCUAUUUGGGAAAAUUCUUCAUGCUGUGAGCUCAGCUGCAGGAACUGGACACCCAAGUAUGUUAGAAAGAGGAACAGGAAUAUUUUCCCCUAGAAGCCAGAGGUGCUUUGACUAUUCUCCUGGUGAGCAGUUACAUUAUGCUACUUGGUCUUCUCUCAAGAACAGAGAUGCCCCAGAACCUCAUGGUUGAAAAUACUCCUACUUUUGGGGGAAGAACAGAAAUUGUGAACUCAGACCUGUGCACAACUGAAGGAAUAUGGAUUUGCAAAUGCAAACACAAGAGAGUAUGCAGACUGAAUUGAUGUGUCAUACAAUUACCAACUCACUUUCCCUAAAUAAAAUAACUCACCAGCUUGGAAGUACAGCUUGUUGUCAUGGAACUUGCUUGAUAUUGGUGCUAAUAAAAAUUGAAGUUUUAAAUCUUCUUCCUGUGAAGUCCAUGCAUUAGAGUUCUUCCCUAUUAAACACCUUCUUAUUCCUAACUGUGCACCACAGCUGGUUAUCCUGACACCAUACAAUCUUCAUUAUCCAAAGGUCCUUUGAAAUAAGCGCUCGCAGGUUUAAAAGAAGAAUUAUCACAUGAAAAACUGGCACAAUUAAAGCUGGCUGCAAAUCAUACUCUCUUGUUCCUGACGGAAUCAAGAGUUAAGGUACAUUCAAAAAUCUAUGUAUGUAUGUUGUUCUUAACUAGAAUGUUCCAAUGCAAGCAACCUUUGCUAUGGAUGACACAGGACUCCAGCUUAUCCAGACUUCUGCACCAGAAAAGGUGAGGAAGAGAAGGAAAACUAAAAACGACAGUUACAAAAAAACCACAGAUGAAAAAUAUGGGAGAAGGCUGGAAAUGCACAAGAGACCUGAGCAGACUGUUUUUCCCACUGUAAGGUACAAAAAUAGAGCAGUAUCCCAUGAAAUACAUGGUCAGCUCACUCACAAUAGAUACAGUGUUCCUUCAGACAGACUCUCCCAGAACUGAAUCAGGACUGCAGUGUGUAUAAAGCCUCUCUAUAAACUGUUCCUCCUAGACCCCAUGAUUUAGCAGAUUUGUGGGUUUUGAGCCUUGUGUAGAUGGUGGUUCUCUCAGUUUUAGG